UGCCUGGCGCCACUAGCGCGGUGGUCCCACCUGACCCCAUGCCGAACUCAGAAGUGAAACGCCGUAGCGCCGAUGGUAGUGUGGGGUCUCCCCAUGUGAGAGUAGGGAACUGCCAGGCAU
Molecule: ribosomal RNA, 120 nt
Filed under: Klebsiella pneumoniae subsp. rhinoscleromatis SB3432
Lineage: Bacteria; Pseudomonadati; Pseudomonadota; Gammaproteobacteria; Enterobacterales; Enterobacteriaceae
Source: RNAcentral